GGGGUAUUGAGUUAUUGUAAGGGGUAUUGAGUUAGGUAGGGGGUAUAGGAGUUAUUGUAAGGGGUAUUGAGUUAUUGUAAGGGGUAUUGAGUUAGGUAGGGGGUAUAGGAGUUAUUGUAAGGGGGUAUAAGAGUUAUUGUAAGGGGUAUUGAGUUAGUUAGGGGGUAUAGGAGUUAUUGUAAGGGGUAUUGAGUUAGGUAGGGGGUAUAGGAGUUAUUGUAAGGGGUAUUGAGUUAUUGUAAGGGGUAUUGAGUUAGUUAGGGGGUAUAGGAGUUAUUGUAAGGGGUAUUGAGUUAGGUAGGGGGUAUUGAGUUAUUGUAAGGGGGCAUUGAGUGACUGUAAGGGGUAUUGAGUUAGUUAGGGGGUAUAGGAGUUAUUGUAAGGGGUAUUGAGUUAUUGUAAGGGGGUAUUGAGUUAGUUAG
This 422-nucleotide long non-coding RNA is filed under the name Salmo salar (Atlantic salmon). RNAcentral's name for it is "lncRNA (ENSSSAG00000100056.1)". The record is from RNAcentral. Lineage: Eukaryota; Metazoa; Chordata; Actinopteri; Salmoniformes; Salmonidae.